This 253-nucleotide ribosomal RNA is filed under the name uncultured bacterium. RNAcentral describes it as "partial 16S ribosomal RNA". It matches the Rfam family "Bacterial small subunit ribosomal RNA", at positions 524 to 776 of the family's 1533-position model. The record is from RNAcentral.
UACGUAGGGUGCAAGCGUUGUCCGGAAUUAUUGGGCGUAAAGGGUGCGUAGGCGGUUUGGUAAGUCUUUUGUGAAAUCUCUGGGCUCAACUCAGAGUCUGCAAGGGAAACUGCCGGGCUGGAGUGUGGGAGAGGUGAGUGGAAUUUCCGGUGUAGCGGUGAAAUGCGUAGAUAUCGGAAGGAACACCUGUGGCGAAAGCGGCUCACUGGACCACAACUGACGCUGAUGCACGAAAGCUAGGGGAGCAAACAGG